RNAcentral lists this transfer RNA (76 nucleotides) under Camelus bactrianus (Bactrian camel). It matches the Rfam family "tRNA". From Rfam's summary of the family: Transfer RNA (tRNA) molecules are approximately 80 nucleotides in length. Their secondary structure includes four short double-helical elements and three loops (D, anti-codon, and T loops). RNAcentral also lists the same sequence under 1 other name. Lineage: Eukaryota; Metazoa; Chordata; Mammalia; Artiodactyla; Camelidae. The record is from Rfam by way of RNAcentral.
GGGUAUAUAGCUCAGUGGUAGAUAGAGUGCCUGCUUAGCAUGCAUGAGGUCCUGGGUUCAAUUCCCAGUACCUCCA